ACUUCUUGCUGCUCCUAUCCCAUUUCUUUGAUUUCUUCGAAGGACCAGCAACAUCAACAUUACUUGUCGGUUCCACCACGUCAACAUUAGCAACUGGCUCCACGUUUUCUACUUCCACAACAGGAUUUACCACAUUCUCGCGUCGGGGAGUAACAUCACCCACUUUGUUAAGCAGUUUCGAAAAGUAAGAUCGAGCUUUCGGAUUAGUACUUGCCAUCAGAGCUGAAAAUCAACAAAAAAUUUAGCAAAGUUAAAAAACUUAUCCUAAAAAGCAAGAAAAUGCGGAAUAACCACGUACCAGUAAGAUCUUCUCGAGGAUGUGAUGAAGUAUACAACUGAAGCAAAGCACGAGUGGGAACUUGAUACGAGAAACGACUAAAAAC
RNAcentral lists this long non-coding RNA (383 nucleotides) under Phaseolus vulgaris (common bean). Its description in RNAcentral is "long non-coding RNA (PVUL_LNC000286)". The record is from RNAcentral. Lineage: Eukaryota; Viridiplantae; Streptophyta; Magnoliopsida; Fabales; Fabaceae.